GAUGAACGCUGGCGGCGUGCCUAAUACAUGCAAGUCGAGCGAACGGACGAGAAGCUUGCUUCUCUGAUGUUAGCGGCGGACGGGUGAGUAACACGUGGAUAACCUACCUAUAAGACUGGGAUAACUUCGGGAAACCGGAGCUAAUACCGGAUAAUAUUUUGAACCGCAUGGUUCAAAAGUGAAAGACGGUCUUGCUGUCACUAAUAGAUGGAUCCGCGCUGCAUUGGCUAGUUGGUAAGGUAACGGCUUACCAAGGCAACGAUGCAUAGCCGACCUGAGAGGGUGAUCGGCCACACUGGAGCUGGGACACGGUCCAGGCUCCUGAGGGAGGCAGCAGUAGGGAAUCUUCGGCAAUGGGCGAAAGCCUUACGGAGCAACGCGGCGUGAGUGAUGAAGGUCUUCGGAUCGUAAAGCUCUGUUAUUAGGGAAGAACAUAUGUGUAAGUAAAUGUGCACAUCUUGACGGUACCUAAUCAGAAAGCCACGGCUAACUACGUG
This 497-nucleotide ribosomal RNA is filed under the name uncultured bacterium. RNAcentral describes it as "partial 16S ribosomal RNA". It matches the Rfam family "Bacterial small subunit ribosomal RNA", at positions 28 to 507 of the family's 1533-position model. The record is from RNAcentral.